This 371-nucleotide ribosomal RNA is filed under the name uncultured organism. Its description in RNAcentral is "bacterial SSU rRNA". It matches the Rfam family "Bacterial small subunit ribosomal RNA", at positions 526 to 896 of the family's 1533-position model. The record is from RNAcentral.
CAGAGGUUGCAAGCGUUAAUCGGAUUUACUGGGCGUAAAGCGUGUGCAGGUGGCUGUACAAGUCGGUUGUGAAAUCCCUGGGCUCAACCCGGGAACUGCUUCCGAGACUGUACGGCUGGAGAUCGGUAGAGGGCGGUGGAAUUUCCGGUGUAGCGGUGAAAUGCGUAGAUAUCGGAAGGAACACCAAUGGCGAAGGCAGCCGCCUGGGCCUGAUCUGACACUGAGACACGAAAGCGUGGGGAUCAAACAGGAUUAGAUACCCUGGUAGUCCACGCCGUAAACGAUGGGUACUUGACGUCGGUAUGCUCUGCGUAUCGGUGUCGUAGCUAACGCGAUAGGUACCCCGCCUGGGGAGUACGGCCGCAAGGUUG